RNAcentral lists this ribosomal RNA (253 nucleotides) under uncultured bacterium. RNAcentral describes it as "partial 16S ribosomal RNA". It matches the Rfam family "Bacterial small subunit ribosomal RNA", at positions 524 to 776 of the family's 1533-position model. The record is from RNAcentral.
GACAGAGGGUGCAAACGUUGUUCGGAAUUACUGGGCGUAAAGCGAGUGUAGGCGGUCUGCUAAGUCGGGUGUGAAAGCCCCGGGCUCAACCCGGGAAGUGCACUCGAAACUGGCAGGCUAGAGUGUCGGAGAGGUUGGUGGAAUUCUCGGUGUAGAGGUGAAAUUCGUAGAUAUCGAGAGGAACACCGGUGGCGAAGGCGGCCAACUGGACGAACACUGACGCUGAGACUCGAAAGCGUGGGGAGCAAACAGG